GCGACGGUAACUCAGCUGGGAGAGUGCCAGACUGAAGAUCUGGAAGUCGCCGGUUCAAGCCCGGCCCGUCGCA
Molecule: transfer RNA, 73 nt
Filed under: Euryarchaeota archaeon TMED85
Lineage: Archaea; Methanobacteriati; Methanobacteriota
Also listed under: 4 other names
Description: tRNA-Phe
Rfam family: tRNA
About the family: Transfer RNA (tRNA) molecules are approximately 80 nucleotides in length.
Source: RNAcentral